This 778-nucleotide unclassified non-coding RNA is filed under the name Hevea brasiliensis (rubber tree). The record is from RNAcentral. Lineage: Eukaryota; Viridiplantae; Streptophyta; Magnoliopsida; Malpighiales; Euphorbiaceae.
UUAGAGUUAAAAAUAGGAAAUAUACUUAAAUUCGGUCCAAAAAUGAGUCUAAAAUAGGCCCAGAAAAGGGCCAAAGAUGAAGCCCAAACCAAUAAAUCGAACCGGACCAGUUUGGCUUUGGUUUGAUCCUGUUUUCUUCCUAAUUCAGUUUGAUUUCGUUUGAUUUGUUAAAAAUUUCAAUUUGUUUGGUUUUCAAUUUUUCAGUGCGAAUUGACGAAUGCUUUCCCCUAGCAAGGGGUGAAAGUUUUGAAUCAGAUAUCCUCCCCUAGAAUGACCAGGAAAAGAAAAUGAGAAUGAUAGAAACUAAAAGCGAGUUGCAGAGGCCAAAUAUUCAUACUUGCUUAGUAACAUUCUAUGUAUUGAGCUUUUCAGCACACUUGUAUUAUGGGUGCACUUGCUAUAAAAGCUUUGUCUAAGAAUUCAUCUGGCUUUUUUGGUACUAUUUUUUAGAUAAGGUUUCUCCAAACUACCUAGUUUCUGUGAUAAGGAGCUGUGAAUUUCAAAAUUUGUAAUCUAUUGAUGGAUGGGGAAGUGAUUUGGCUCUGAGUUGGGAAUUGAUGCAUGCAAUGGUUUUUACUUGGGGAUAGGUCAUCCUAAGCAUGAGUUUAUGUAUGCAUUAAAAGCUGUCAAGUACUAAUGCAACUGUGAGCUCCUUUGACUAGCCUAAGGGAUGUAAGCCUACAAGUAAACACAAUGUGAGGCCGGUGGCCUAUGAUUAGUCAUUCCGAUGCUCAAGUCAUAUAAUUGAUUGAGAGAGUAAUGUAUGUAGAGAUUUCAG